GUUUUCGUGGCGAAGGGGUCCAAGAAGGGGGAGAGAAGUAUGGGUUUGUGGAGUUGGGGAGAAGAGAGAGGAGGGAAUCGGUAGAGAGGCUUAGGGCGGAUAGGCGGAGGGAAGGGUUGGGGGCGCCGGAGGCGGAGACGCCGGCUACACGAGAGGAGCAGCCAGCUUUUGGGACUUCCACUCCGUGUUCACUCUUUAGGGCUAGCCUCUACCGUCGCCGCCGCUACCGUCGCGUGUCCCGGUCGAAGGGCGACGCCGACGUCGUCUAGGACAGACCGUCGGCGCGGCACAGCGGCCGCUAGUUUCAGCUCAGNNNNNNCGGUCGUUUUCAAUUUCGUAAAUAACUAGCACAUUAGUUAUAAGGUGAUGUACUGUAACGGUAUGGUGAUAGUCCGAAGGUAACCCUCAAGUUAUUCCCUUUAAAAGUGGUAACCUUCGGAGACAAAUACGUAAAACUAUGCAUAAAGUUCUGUAUGUAGAGAAGAUCUUUCCUAGAAGAGAACAGACUACUAUACAGACUCUCACUUGGCAACUGUUUUUUAUGGUAGAAUGUUUAGAACUCUCAAUACGUUUAACACAACCUUUUAACGGUCUUGUUUUGUUGAAAACGACCGGAACUCGUAAAAUUCUUAGACAACCGUAGUAGUCUAGGACUCCAUCAACAACGCCGAAACCUUUGAGAACGAAGUCACCACUUUUAUUUAGGAAGUUUUGAUGUAUACUUACCCUUUGACUAGUCGACACCUCGAUAUUUAUCGGUAGAAGAUAGUAACCGGGUUCCUACCCCAUCGUUCCUCCUUCCAGAUCCGAACAUAAGGACACAACACCGUUUACUCGCUUUGGUCGACCUCCCAAACACGAAUAAGGGUCGUCUGUACCUCUUGUUUAUACUACCGUGUGUCGUAGCAGAACCCAGGUGAGAAGUAAAACUCAUAUUAAACCGUGGACAGGUUCUAAGACUGGUUCGGUUACUGUUCAGUAGAUUAGAGACACACUAUGUAUACGGUCUGGACGUGGAAGCCUUCCUCCUACUGAACUCGUAUAACUUCGUUACAUAGCUGUUCAAAUUACACGGAGGUCUCGUGGCCAAACGGAACAAAUGUUCCUAUUCUAUACGUGUACGAAAAUUAAGAGGCUCCUGUACGUCCGAUAUAUCGGCGUAUUCAGAGGAAAGAAAGUAACAAGAGCACGUUAGGUCACUACGGGUACUACUCGACUGUAGCAAGAAGUGUUUACUCGGCCUCAUGUAUUUACUCAAUUAGGCCGAACAAGCCAGUCUUCUAUAACAAGGACCCGGGUAAGCACGUAACCGAUACGAACGUGACCCUCGUGUCAAUCGUCGUAUACGUAGUAGAGUACUCGCUCGAUCCUAUGACUCGCCAAGUUCAUAGUAGAGACGACCACCUUUGGCGUACCAGAACGAGUCACAAGACGUCUUUCGUUAUAGCAGGGAGUCAUCGGGAUUACUAUGAAGUAGAGGAAAUUAACAACUACGGGAAGAUGUCAAGAAAAACGAAGUACACGACAGUAGAAGCUCAAGACCCUGCUGGCAAUCCCCAAGUCCCUACCAAGGUGGAGAGGACGGAGAGGACGUUCUAUUCCUAGGAAGGGUGUACGUAGAACAGACAAACCGUCAUUUCUGGGAAGUCUUCGACUACCUCAUGUCGUCGGGACGACAAAGGGACAAAUUUCUAAACCCACCACAUCUUGAAAACAGAGUCUCCAAUGUACACCUCCACGUCGCACAAUAACCACAACGACUUUAAUGAAGUCACCAACGAUCACUAUGUAGCUUUAGUCUUCUACUGGUAGACAUGAGUGUCUUCGCUGACUAAUUCCGAAACGAGUUCCGUAAUCCAAGGCGAUGUAUAAGAGGACGCUUAGGACGAGCGAGAGUUUCAAGGUUACUAUUGAGAAACGGGUACAGUGAAAGGGAAUAUAAGGUCUUACAACCUUUCAAACCACCACUAUAUAUGAAGAGAAGUCAAUGACAAUACUCACUCUAUUAUGUAUUCCUAGGAUGUACGAAAGGACGAAACUUCCUUGAACCAGAAGGACUACGAAAGGACAGUAGUCACUGACGACCCCGCUAUGGUAGAACAUUUCGUGAAUAUACACAUGGGUUACCGGACCCGCGUUAGACGGAAUUAUUGGUUCCUGAACUCAGACAGUCCCUUUGAAGUCGCGACGCAAAAGAACAUCUCUGCAAGUGAUCAUCCUUUAUAAACUAUGGUUACUUACUUCCACAACAAGAAAAUCGUUUACGUCACCUUCUCGAAGAAGCAGUACACGUCAGGGAAUCUUCAUGACCACAACUGUAGUAGUAACUUUAUUAGUUGUUUGAAAGAACAGGAGCACCACUAUUUUAGUGACUUCGUCGGUCGCGACUUCUUUUUUGUCUAUACCUUUGUCUACAACUUCCCGCACUAAAUCAUUCACGGUACCUAAGACCGUGUCUACCUUGAUUACUACUCGUCAAAAGAGUAAACUCGUAAAAGGUACAAUACCAUAACCACGUGUCCUGUUACCUUUUGAGUCUUUGAACGUCCGACAAACAUCUUUUCCCUCCAGAUGUCUGAGACAACUGUGAGAACGACGCUGGAUGGUAGUGGGUUAGAAGACCACCCUACGGAUAACGAAACGUGUCGUGAUACCAUAAAUUCCCGAAAUGAGUUGUCGUAAGAUGAGGUGAACGCGCACGUAAAACGAGGAGAAAUUUCCUCGUGAACUUCUUACGGGAUGUCCUUGAACUAUGUCAAAAAUCCAGUACACUUCACUGAUUCAACCUUUUUCCUCGGUAAGGCAGUGAAAAAUAACAACUUAAAGACGAUAAGGAUCGCCGUAGUUUUCUGUUGGCGACCUACUUACGAGAUGAGAGUCUUAAACCUCUACAGUCGUCCCUACAGGACCUUCUAUAACCUUCUCAAGUGGCCCUUCACGAAACCGUUUAAAGUGAAAAACUACUCUUCUUUUAUCUCGGACUUCGGUCAAGAGGAAGUCGUUUACUCCGGGUCGUUCAACUACGACGACACCCGCUGUGACCACUAUUGUCUAUGUGGAGGAAAUCCGUUAUAGAACUAGGAGAAAAUUCCGCUGCCCCGAGACCCACCUUGUAACUCAGAGUCCACAGACUGGAAUAGUUAUAGAUAGCACUAUACCCGGCACGUCGAUCGCUGAGAGUGUCUCAACCACGACUAUCUAUGGGAUCAUGUCCCAACGGGAGUUCAAGGGUCCUAGUCGGUAGGUCAAGUAGACUACGUUUACGCUUCAGUCUUCUCCUGUUCUUUUCUAGACUCGUAAACAGGACGACACUGUACUACUCCAGUGAAAGAAUGGUAUAAUUGGUAGACAAAUACCUCGAACCCUUUCGUUACGACGAAUGUAGAGCGGCACUCUUGUCAGGAUAUUUAGAUAGAGGUAGACAACACAGACAACGAUCGUUAUAACGAAGAUAGCACAACCUCGUGGAGUUAAAACUCCCCGUAUGUUAGUCAGGUCUCUCCCUCUAAUGACAACGAUGUUUCACGGCUAUGGAACCUUUCCAACAACUCAAAUAACUACCCUAUAACAACCUGUCUGGUCUUAGUACAUUAGGUUAGUACCACUUAAGAAAAAUAACGGCACCACAUUAAGUCCGAUAGAAUUGGUGUAAACUUCGAUGGUCGCUCAACGAAAAGCGUUACUUGUCCGGUGGGAGCAGUGGAUACCUCUGACUAUCAUUUUGACCCUUCCUUCUCUUCCUACGACUAACAAGUACCUAAAUACCGGGGGAAAGGUCGAUACCACGUCGAUACCUGGUAGAACAUUGUAGUAGUAAAUAAGAAAGAAGUAGCUGUUCUGUUGAUGAACUCGUUGGAUAAAAAUCACCUUGACAGUCCAAAGGUGUUCUACGUCUCUUUAAGUACUUCAACGAAGUUAGAUUUCAGAAUUUCUGACAAGAAGGGUAUACCCGGGUAGGUGUCAAAGGUCUUACGUUAGAACUCGAUUAGUCAAGUCAGUGUAGCUAGUACUCCGUACAAAUGAGACCCCAUCUUCAUUUUUUGUUACAAUCGUUGUAACGACGAGCAAACCGACCAGGUGGGGGACUGCUCUUACGUUAAAGGGACUAAUAUCUCUACCCGAAAAGAGCACGUUCUCGACUUCUUCGUAAUUCUGUCCAACCUUGUUUAUCGCAACUCUAGCGCUGACUAACCAACAAGAGUGUGGGCCUCCUUGGUGGUCUCCUACUACUUGAACGAGCUCGAGAACGAUACAGAGAUCCCUUAAGACUAUGUGGACAAGUUCUCCUUCUACUGUCUUGAUUACUAGAACUCGAGCUCCUUCAUUUACAAGUCGAGGGAGGGUACCUACUUCAUAAUAGAAGUACAGAAUCCGACGAUGUCCGUUUCCUUUGUAAUCGAAAAGGACAGGCCCUAUACGAACACUGAUAGUCGAGUGUCUUACUGCCGGUUUUGGCACACUUCCACGAAUGUAUAAACUAACUAGUAGACUUCGUUACAGAACACCGUAGACUAGGAAAUUUCUUGUGACGUGAUAGACGAAAAACGGUACAAGAACGAAACUAAGAGGUACCUCUAUGACGACGAGCACUUCAACGGAGUUUCCGACCAGAACAGUUCCAGCAAAACUCAGACGACACGUCGACCCUCUACCUCGGUUCCCUUCCCGUUUGUUGGUUCCAAGGGUUAACCCAAUGAAGGACAAAGGAAAGACAACUAUCUUACGAGGUCAACCUUGGGUUCAACGGUCUACAAUGACUCGAACUACAAGAGUUUUUCCUAUCAAGUGGAUGUGUUUGUAGACAACACUAACUACUGUCGUUCUUCUUCCAAAGUCUUAGAAGGAGUUCACAUCCCAAUAACCUGAACCUCCUGGUCCUCGUUGAAAACUCCUAUACGACAUUUACGUAAGUCUUCGUCAACGGAAGGCCAUGUUACGUACGAUAAGAAGUCAACACACGAUGUGACUGCUUUCAGGUACACCGACGAUAGUCAAAAGAACUCAGACCACCGGAUGUACGCAACGAUUCAAACGGCUGUUCAUCGAACAAAAGACCUAAGUUGUCACACCAAAGAUGUUAAUAGGCAGUAUAAAACCUCCUAGGGGUAUGAGAAGUCGUUCGAUACCUUAAUCUCUAUGCGGUAUCAGAACAGUGCCGACGAUUAGCCGUACGUUUAGGAGCCCAAUGUGGUGCAUUAAAACAAGUUUUAAACCGCAAACAACAUGUGUCCCUGGGUCACUAUAAAUACUUUCGACGGGUUCGACACACGGUCUAACUCUACCAACCUCUAUCUGGCAUACAACAAGAUAACUUCCUGGCACUCUUCCUUUUCUCGUUCCUUUUUCUCUUCCUAUUCGACCAACUAUUCCUAUUUAGUAGUCCACAACGGUGUUUCUAUUGUAGUCCCCUGUACCAAUACCGUAGAGGACAUUCACGGUUUCCCUUUGUUAGACUAAACUCACAUGCCUUAUACUUUAGAGUAGCGUUCGGUGGUGUUUGGAAACAGUGACAAUAACUCGUAGAUAAUCUAGAUCAUUACAGGAAACAGGGUGGUGUUUCUCGACUCCUGGUUAGACUACCAAGCAGUAGGUACCUGUACCUAUAACUGAGAUCAAGUCGUUUUCCAUUUCCCUUCCGACAACGACAGUGUGUACUUCUCAGGUUCGUUCGUUAGGUUCUACGAUGACGUACAGACCGAUUUUUGCGUAAACAGGAUUUCGACGAGUGUCUACAUGAUAAUUGAAUACGAAGAAGGCAAGUUCAACAAGAAGCGGUACUACGACUCAACUCGUCGUGCGCUCCAGGAUGAGCCUGGUCACCACCUUAUAAAUUAGUAUAUAACGUCGUAAACGAAGGUGUACGAUGUUUCGUUUUCUUUCUUUCUUUCGGACUAUCACUAACCUCCAUGUUUAACCGUUGUUCCCCAUUAGUUAAAAAUCACCGAAGUAGAUAAGCAAGAAGUCUUCCUGCUUUUUCCUAGACAAGACUUUAGACGUCAUAUAAACAACUCAAGUGUCUGUUAAGAUGACCAACGUUUGGAGGUUACAACUCCUACUUACGAAUACAACUAAACGAGUUACUAUAAGACAGUCGAGCGAGCGGUUGCCCGAGGAGUGAAAGUCGUCUUAGACAUCAAUGUAAACAACUCCAACCGGAACAGGUCACAAAUUGCUUUUGGGAAGUCCAAGAACUAAACCUAGUAGGACUAAGUCGUUUCUAACAUUGACCAUAACAGUUCCGAGAACUUCACCAAUGGUUCCUCGUGCAAGUAAAUCGUCUAAAAUUACGAUUUCCCCUCUUGAGUAGUUUCUGACAAAACCUCGUCUUGUUACAUCUAAGUAGUAGUUUAUCUAAGGUCCAAGAACUGUGUUGAAGAGUUGGUUGACGUUACCAUUGACUAGUGUCCCUUUGAAAGUUACGACAAGUACGAGGUUCUUCAAGUCUAAGUCACCGUCUACUCUACCUAGUACUGGCACUAUAUCUACCUCCAAAACGGGUACUACCACUUCUACUAAAAUACGUACUCUAACGACUUCUGUCUUGACCUUUACUCAGGUGUUACCUAUAAGCCAAACUAUAAGGUGCAUUAUCUCUCCUACUAUACCGACUUCUACUUCUACUGUCACUACUUCUAUACAGUCCUCUACUACCACUCCUCCAACUACUUCUACUACUACUACUCCUUUUAUUGUUGGACCUCCUUCUGCUACGGGUAGUCUAUAGAGUACGACUGUGCCUAGUCCUACUGGCACUCUAACUACUUCUUCUUAAACUACUUCUAGACGAUCUUCUUCUACUACUACUACUCCUACUCCUCCCUCAUUAGGAAGCGGAUCUCCUCCCCUAGUUACCUUAAUUACACAAACUGGUAUAACUCCAAAAACCCCCCUCGUUGUUACAAAGACCCCUAUGUGACGCACAUUACGGUAACCUGUAAAAACCGUGUUCUGCCGUUCCGGCAUCAUGUAGAUAUAUGUUAGAAGAACCCUCUCGUUCACUGGUUCCACAUGAACUAGUGGGUGAGAACCUCCUUGGAAGCUACAAUGAAGGUGUUGUCUCCGUUGGUCUUUUAAAUCAACUCUACCGAAAGAGACUAGCCUUAGUACUUUUAUCAAGAAGGGCAAACCUGCGAUAUAAGUCUUCGAACGCUUCACCUGCCUUACCUGUGGCUAAAUUAUACACCGACCUACUACCGGGGGUUGCGUUACCUAGACGACGGGGAUGUCAUGGACUUCCGUAACUUCUUGAAGACGAGAGAGUCAACUCUUCCGGAUGCCGACUUGUAGGACUACUCGUCUCGUGUGGACGACAACUACGAGUUCAUUUGCUAGGAGGGUCAUUAAAGGUACCCAGUCUUUGACUACGUUCCCUUCCUAGUCGUCUUGUUUUACUUUUACUACUAUAAGGACGUCAUUCCAGACUCCACCUACCGAGACGUUCACGACCAGGACGUGGAGGAGUGUCACUACUUGAAGUUUCUCUACGUAGGUUACGUUCACUCGUACAGCGUCUAUACGUUAUACUUGCAUCACUGCGUCGACAGGCACUACACCUUCGUCAUUCGGUUCGUUCGUCACCAUCACCACGAUGAGAUCCCCUUUCGGAGUCUUCAAAUCUACACCUUUAACCUUCACAACUUCCUGUACUACUACCACUGGCCGUACCCCGAAGUCUGUCCUGUGGAGACCCACUACAUGUCCGUCGAUGAGCUAGCGCCUCCGGAAGACCUUUACGUCAUGAUCAGUCGUCGUCCCUGUAUAGUAACCUCUCACAAUCCCUCUAGGGGGUUUUGUGUCAGGUCCUUAGACUAGUCUUACGGUCACUCCCCCUAGUCCUCGGAUUGUCCCGAUGACCCUGACUGAGUUAUCUAGGAUGUAAAAACCUCCGAGAAGGUCUCCUAAAUGCCCGACUUCAAGAAAGAAGUGCAGUUUUAGUUCACUGAGUCUGAAGGUCACUCGUCGGAGUCGUACUACGCCUGUAACUAGGACUUAAGGAACGACGUGACGGUGGACUAUAUGCACUUCUCCAAGAUCGAGUUGUUGCACGGGUUGCCAACGUUGUUGUCAGAGUUCUCGAACUUCCUGUUGGUCAACUUUACCUGCGACAUAGUUAAUAACGUUGGAAGGGAAGCCUUUAUGCUCUCCUCCACGAAAACUGCAGAGGGCUAUGAGAUGAACGAUGUAACUGUGGACGUGAUCAACGACUUCGGUUGUACAACGCACUCUCUAAACGAGUAGCUAUAGUGUCGCCAAGUGAUAAACCGUACUUGAGGUCCUUGUCCUCCCCUCUCAGGAGAGCAGCACCACUAUAGUAACCAAGUCCGGAACUAUCUUUAUGACCACUAAGCAGGGCAGUUUGCCGGUCGUUCAAUUAACUUUGACAUCCCUGAGGAGAACAACUGUUCCUACGAGAGUUACGAGAAUAUGCUAAUGAAGCUCAACAGGUCGGAUAUAUGUUCCCGGUCGACGUCUCCGAAGAGAACUUGGAAACACGAGUGGCCCUUUCGUCUUUCAGCGACCAAGUUUAAGACCACCUGUACGAAUACGAACUAGACGUCCCGAGAAGAUUCUUUAGUUAACUACGUUGUCUCGGCAGUAAAUCCGAUAUACCCACGGUACGUUUAUAGUGUAUAAGUGCGGGAGUUAGGAGUCUACCACACGGUGGUGACCAAAGAGCGGCACACGACCUUUGAGACUGUAUGGACCGUUCUUUAGUAGGUUUACACCGAUUCGAGAAUGAGAAAGAAGUCAAGGGGACGGGCGGGUGGACGGUAUGACUUUGUGAACUGGUCUCCGCACCUUUCCGACAGGAACACCUUCUGCCCCUUGUUGUCUCACGAAAACGUGAGCAAGAUGAAAACUGAGAUAAUUUAGUCGGAGAAAUAUACUCUUCACAUCGAGUAGAACUUGUCAAUGAGUUAGAAGACCUUCAACAGUACGAAUUACGGCUCUUACUUCAUUUAGUUCAAUUCAACGUUUCAAGUAGACUCUCUGGCAGACCUGGACUCUUACGUUGUGUUCUACGGGUUCUCCUACGGUCACAAGGACCUAGUAGACCUCGCUUCGGGUUACGGCUACUAUCACCAUUUAGUAGCAGGCUAUUAUAUUCACUGGACGUUCGACAAAACGUAUCGGAAGGCGUUCGGCUCGAAGCCAACGAUACAAGUAACGAACGCGUACUACCCAAUAGUCUGUUACGUAUAGAGGAACAUCGUCUUCAAGACUUUUUCUAACAUCGAAACCGAGGAAAGUAGACAACGGUAAAGUAUUUACUCGAAAGUGCAAGCUACGUUUUAAACUGACAAACACGGUACUUACUCGAAGUGAACAUACUUCUAAGACUUUUCCGUUAAGACUCGUGUAGUAGUCGGUUGCCGUACCGUCAAGAUUCUCAACACGUCCGGAACUCAAGAGAACAGUGUAGAGACGUUCUCUCUUUUCUAGGUCUCGAAGAACGUCUCUUCCUGGUAAGUCUACGUGACAGGGUCUAAAGACUAUAAUUGUGUCGUAACCUACGCAACACCAACCUCGAUUCGUUGACGUAUUCGUUUUAUCUCUCGAGAAGUCUAAUAUGUAGUUUAAACUCAGGUUGAAGACGUUUACGUUGAUCUCAUAGUUGACCACAUCGUGGAGGGAACGGUCGACCUUGGGUCUUAUAUAAUGGCAUGUAUCUUAGGAAAAAACACUGUACGCUCUUCAAUGCAGGUCCUGUUGGACUACGACAAGUUCUCGGAAGUUGUAGACUAUACCUCCUACGAAGUUGUAGAUCAUCACCCGUUUUUAGUAGACGUUCGGUAUGGUCAGAACUACUCUUCGUGUGACGAAAACAAUUUAAGAGCCUCUUUGUGUCUUCUAACAAUUUACGAAAAUAGGCUGUUUUGAGACCCAACGAUCUUUUUAGAAAGAGAGACUACAACUUCCAGGGGGCGAACUAACUAAAACUGUUGUUUGCACGUAUAAAGGCCAGAUUUUAAUUCGUAGUCGUACUGGUAGUAGUGUCAGGACAAUCUUAAAGACAGGCUGCCCGCAUGUAAAACCUUCUGAGGAUGUUAGUCGAAUCCUACGCGAGUGGGGUCCUGAACUUCCCAUCUGAGUGACAAGUAAAGGUUCCUCUUCUUCCGUAACUACGGCCACCUGAGUGUUCUCUCACCAUAGUCAAUGAUAGUGCUCAAUAAAAACUGUUCCCACGGGAAGAUAAGUGCUGACAACCUUUACUGAACUGUAAAGUUGGUUUGGGAUUGAGACACAUAGUCUGACUUGUGGAGAGUAUAAAGUUUAAACAACCUGCUCACCAACCUUUUCGAGAGAAACUACGGGUUGAAAACCUACAGGUAAAGUGAUCUAGAAAGAUGUUCGUGUAUGAACCACGGUUCCAAUGAAUGGUACUAUAACUUCGGUAACUAGGACGAAUGAUGUCUUUGGAAUUCACCUACGAACUCUUACUGUAUUCACUACAGGACCUGGAGUGUAAAUCGUACCUACGUCUACUUCUCUUCGACUAUAAUAUACUCUUUCGACUCCAUUGACUAACACUCAACUAAGGACCUCCCGCAUUGUAAUCCCAGUGACUCCUCUUGUUCGUACUUAUACACCUAUCCCAUCGUCUCGUAGCAAAUUGGUGACGUUAAUCCGGAGUCUAAUUACGAAAGUACCUUCCUAAAUUACUCGAGUAAGGAGCGCUCGAUUAUAGGUAAAAAUUACUGUUUCUCAAACUUGACGAUUAGUCACCUGAGGGACUAUAACUGAACCUGCUGGAUUUCCGUUUAUGGCUCAUAAGACCGAUGUCGUAUCGAAGAGGUCAAUAAGUUACCAAGACCCUUUAACAUGUUCCAAAGUCGUUCCUCCUGUUUCGAGCUAAAGAGGUCAAGCAAUGACCGUGAAGUUUCCAUGGAAACCUCCCAAAGUCACGCGAGGUUCCUUAUAGACCCGGUGUUUCCAAGGUCUAUGUGUUCCGUAUGCCGUCGUGGUUGGUAGACGGGAGUCGAGUAUGAACGAAAUUGGUUGACCUGAACGGACUUAUGUGUAGGUUUCUGGUCGACGUUCUCUCCAACGAUAAUCGAUAAGUACUCCGUUUACUUCCCAAACCUAAACCAAUUAGUCAGUAAGGGCGUGAACACGUAAGCGACGACCCAUAAACAUGUCUAUCAUGCCCUCAACGUUAUCCGUUCACCCUUACACACGCACGAACAAGGUCUCAGACGAUCUAGGGUGAUAAACCGUUGUACUUCGUAGUCGGAAUCCGUGAUGGUCCUCCAAGAGCUAUAAACAACCCUUUACCGGCUCUAGAUGGUCUUAGUAACGUAACGUUUGUUCAAUGACGUUUCUUACACGUCACUCACCCUCAAAUUUGUCUGUGGUUGAUAAACUACAAGUAUUAUAACAAAAAGAAAUACCAGUCGAAACUGGCAACGGGACAAUUUUACGGUAGAACAAAUGUAACCUAAAUCGACCUUCUAGAAAACUUCAGAAAAUAUCUACACGCCUUAUCUGACCACCUUACGUCGUUAUUCUGAUCACGUCAAAAGAGUAUUAGACAAUGAGUAGAGCAGAGAACACGGAGAACAACGUAGACAAUUAGUAAGUUAUGGACGGUUUCCAGUUUGGUGUACUCGUUUUGACAUACCAGACUACCAGUGUCGUUUCUGAAAGUACAGAGAUAGGAACACUCCUGUAGGGAAGCAUGUCACGGGACUUAAGGUCGUCAUUUUCUCCUAUGCUCAGCACUGAAAUUAAACACUUGUUGAAUAUAGUAUCUUGUUGAAUA
RNAcentral lists this ribosomal RNA (11764 nucleotides) under Triticum aestivum (bread wheat). RNAcentral describes it as "partial small subunit ribosomal RNA". The record is from RNAcentral. Lineage: Eukaryota; Viridiplantae; Streptophyta; Magnoliopsida; Poales; Poaceae.